GACGAACGCUGGCGGCGUGCUUAACACAUGCAAGUCGAACGGAAAGGCCCUGCUUUUGUGGGGUGCACGAGUGGCGAACGGGUGAGUAACACGUGAGUAACCUGCCCUUGACUUUGGGAUAACUUCAGGAAACUGGGGCUAAUACCGGAUAGGAGCUCCUGCUGCAUGGUGGGGGUUGGAAAGUUUCGGCGGUUGGGGAUGGACUCGCGGCUUAUCAGCUUGUUGGUGGGGUAGUGGCUUACCAAGGCUUUGACGGGUAGCCGGCCUGAGGGGGUGACCGGCCACAUUGGGACUGAGAUACGGCCCAGACUCCUACGGGAGGCAGCAGUGGGGAAUAUUGCACAAUGGGCGGAAGCCUGAUGCAGCAACGCCGCGUGCGGGAUGACGGCCUUCGGGUUGUAAACCGCUUUCGCCUGUGACGAAGCGUGAGUGACGGUAAUGGGUAAAGAAGCACCGGCUAACUACGUG
This 468-nucleotide ribosomal RNA is filed under the name uncultured bacterium. RNAcentral's name for it is "partial 16S ribosomal RNA". It matches the Rfam family "Bacterial small subunit ribosomal RNA", at positions 28 to 507 of the family's 1533-position model. The record is from RNAcentral.